Molecule: unclassified non-coding RNA, 206 nt
Filed under: uncultured Sebacina
Lineage: Eukaryota; Fungi; Basidiomycota; Agaricomycetes; Sebacinales; Sebacinaceae
Description: sequence contains ITS2
Source: RNAcentral
GUACUCUCACACUCUCUAAUCCUUUGGGUUUGGGGAGCGGUGGACUUGGGUGCUUGCUGCUUUCCUUGUGGCUCACCUCAAAUGCGUCAGUGCAUCUCUUGAUUGGACAUAGUACGGCGUGAUAAGUGUCUUCGCCGGCACCUCAUGAGAGGGUGGCCGAUUGGGAGCUCUGUGCUUCAUAAACCGUCUUCGGACAAUCUCUGACA